UGGGACGAGAAGACCCUAUAGAAUUUAAUAUAAUUUUUGAAUCUAUUUAAGGUAAGUAAAUUUUAUUUUAUAAGUUAUAUUUUAUUGGGAGGAUAAUUAAAUAAAAUGAACUUUAAUUUUAAUAUAAUUUAACAUUUAACAUUGAUUAAUGAAAUUUUAAUAAAAGAUUAAUUAUUAAAUUAAUAAAAUAUUUUUUUAUUUUUUAUAAUAGUUAUUAUAAAAAUUAAUUACCUUAGGGAUAACAGCGUAAUAUUUUUAAAAAGAUCAUAUUAAUAAAAAU
Molecule: ribosomal RNA, 280 nt
Filed under: Nylanderia fulva
Lineage: Eukaryota; Metazoa; Arthropoda; Insecta; Hymenoptera; Formicidae
Also listed under: 1 other name
Description: partial large subunit ribosomal RNA
Source: RNAcentral